CCUACGGGUGGCAGCAGUGGGGAAUAUUGGACAAUGGGGGGAACCCUGAUCCAGCCAUGCCGCGUGUGUGAAGAAGGCCCUCGGGUUGUAAAGCACUUUCAGUGAGGAAGAACGCCUGGUGGUUAAUACCCAUCAGGAAAGACAUCACUCACAGAAGAAGCACCGGCUAACUCCGUGCCAGCAGCCGCGGUAAUACGGAGGGUGCGAGCGUUAAUCGGAAUUACUGGGCGUAAAGCGCGCGUAGGUGGCUUGAUAAGCCGGUUGUGAAAGCCCCGGGCUCAACCUGGGAACGGCAUCCGGAACUGUCAAGCUAGAGUGCAGGAGAGGAAGGUAGAAUUCCCGGUGUAGCGGUGAAAUGCGUAGAGAUCGGGAGGAAUACCAGUGGCGAAGGCGGCCUUCCGGACUGACACUGACACUGAGGUGCGAAAGCGUGGGUAGCAAACAGGAUUAGAUACCCGUGUAGUC
RNAcentral lists this ribosomal RNA (465 nucleotides) under Vreelandella stevensii. RNAcentral describes it as "partial 16S ribosomal RNA". It matches the Rfam family "Bacterial small subunit ribosomal RNA", at positions 338 to 795 of the family's 1533-position model. Lineage: Bacteria; Pseudomonadati; Pseudomonadota; Gammaproteobacteria; Oceanospirillales; Halomonadaceae. The record is from RNAcentral.